RNAcentral lists this ribosomal RNA (472 nucleotides) under uncultured Acidovorax sp. Its description in RNAcentral is "bacterial SSU rRNA". It matches the Rfam family "Bacterial small subunit ribosomal RNA", at positions 908 to 1382 of the family's 1533-position model. Lineage: Bacteria; Pseudomonadati; Pseudomonadota; Betaproteobacteria; Burkholderiales; Comamonadaceae. The record is from RNAcentral.
AAUUGACGGGACCCGCACAAGCGGUGGAUGAUGUGGUUUAAUUCGAUGCAACGCGAAAACCUUACCCACCUUUGACAUGUACGGAAUCCUUUAGAGAUAGAGGAGUGCUCGAAAGAGAGCCGUAACACAGGUGCUGCAUGGCUGUCGUCAGCUCGUGUCGUGAGAUGUUGGGUUAAGUCCCGCAACGAGCGCAACCCUUGUCAUUAGUUGCUACAUUCAGUUGGGCACUCUAAUGAGACUGCCGGUGACAAACCGGAGGAAGGUGGGGAUGACGUCAAGUCCUCAUGGCCCUUAUAGGUGGGGCUACACACGUCAUACAAUGGAUGGUACAAAGGGUCGCCAACCCGCGAGGGGGGGCCAAUCCCAUAAAGCCAUUCGUAGUCCGGAUCGCAGUCUGCAACUCGACUGCGUGAAGUCGGAAUCGCUAGUAAUCGUGGAUCAGAAUGUCACGGUGAAUACGUUCCCGGGUCUU